GUCUUUCUAUCUUUUGUGUUUUUGGAUUAUAUGGGUAUGGAACAUUCUCACUGAAGGGUAAGAAUUUUCUUUCCUCUAUUGAUAUGUUUUCAGGUACUAGCCAUAUGACAUGUUUAUCAGUUGUUUGAAUGUUGUUCAUAUAAUUUUGUGCUUGCAAAAUUUUGUCUGGGGUUUUUAUAUCUAUGUCGUUCUCUGUUGCUUCAACUCUUCUCUUUGCUAUGGUGAACCCUUGUUGGACAUUUAUUGGACGCUUAAAAUGGACA
RNAcentral lists this unclassified non-coding RNA (263 nucleotides) under Hevea brasiliensis (rubber tree). Lineage: Eukaryota; Viridiplantae; Streptophyta; Magnoliopsida; Malpighiales; Euphorbiaceae. The record is from RNAcentral.